GUUCUUUCCUGUGCUGAGAUUACUAAGAGACUGGGUCUCACUCUGUUGCCCAAGCUGGAGAACAGUGGCACCAUCAUAGCUCACUGCAGCCUUCAACUUCUGGGCUCAAGUGCUUCUCCCACCUCAGCCUCCCAAGUAGCUGGGACAACAGGUGAAAUUGAAGGCCAGCUUUUGGAACUCAACCUUCAAAGGAACUUAAAAUUUCCAUUAUGUAGAGUCCCUGAGGAAACUGGAUCCACUAGCUACACUGGCUGAGAAUGCUCUCACCCCAGGAUUUCAUUUUUAUUUUACCACAUCAUUGUUGGUAUCUUAAGAUCAAUGUACUGGAGCAGCGGGGUCUCACAAAGAGGAUACCUGGUGACACGCCCAGGCUUUCAGAAUGCACUAUAGGGCUUUAGUGACUUGUCCAGGUUCAGCUGAAAUGUGCCAUCUGGGACCUACUAAUGCUUGUUGAACUUUACUGGAUCUCAGAAGCUGGGUCUCAGAAGCUCAGAUGUUCCUCAGAGCUACGAUAUCAACAACCUGUGAUGACAGAGAGAAGGUUGCUCCAUGAUGGAUUUGGAAACUUACUGGCUAGCUAAACCUGACUGAAUGGGAAGGAAUGUGGAUAGCUUUGGAACUCUAGUUUCACUAGAUGAGCUGGAAUUUGUAUUUUGACAAAUUGCACGUUAUGAUUAUUAAGUAAUGCAACUGAUUUUUUUUUCCCUUAAAACAAACAAUCUAGAAUCUGUGUAAUCAAAAUAAUUUCUCUAAAAGGCUGCAAGUAUAUGCUUAAAGUGUUGGGGCAUUCAGAGCAUUUGGAACAUUACAUUCUUUUGAAUGUCAAUUGGUAGAUGAAAAUACCAGCUUUUAAGUCAUACAUUUGAUUUUUUGAAACAAUAUGCAUUUAGAGUUUGUAAGUCAAGUGAAUAACUGAUAAGGUAAAAAAAAGGGGGAGUUCAUUGUUGAGUAUGAAUUUAAAGUAACCAGACUGCCUUUUGUCCAGUGGCUGUCAGUAAUUUACUUCAGCAGGCAUUUUUUUUUUUUUGAGGCUGUUCUAUGAUAUCAUGACCCUUCUUGUAGGAAUGUGCUUCCAGUGGUGAGGCAGUCUGAGAAUGUGUGAAGCAGUAUAAUGAAGCCAGACCAAGAUGGAAGCUUGGCCUGGGAUUUGAGCAUCAGGAAAACUGUUGAAGGGUUAUGUAUACAUCACACACACACACACACACACACACACACACACACACACACACACACUCUCUUCCAUACUCCUAUAACAACGUAUAGUAUUUACUAUACCUGGUGACAGGUAUUUACUAUACAUUGUUGAAGAUCUAUAACAUGGAAUGCCUAGUGCUAAGUGCAGUGUCCUUAGUGAAAUUGUAUUGGUUUGGAAUUAUUUAUGAGUUUGGGAUUAUUUGUCACUACCCUUAAAUGAUCUUGACACUCACCUAUUUGAAAAGAUAUUGAGGAUUUGCCAUUUGAUAUUGACCAGGGUGUAUUGUGCACAAAUAUUGUGAAUAUACAUCUGUCUGUCCUUAAAUCACUGUAAGUUUUAACUGGAAUAGAUUUGCUCCACAUUACUCGGUAGGGCUGAUAUUUCAUGCCUCAUGGAUGAGAAAAGAAUAGGCAAAAAUUAUAUCUCGGGCUGCCUCACACAUCUUUUAACAGGAUAAGGGAAAAAUAAAUAUAAGACCUAUGAGUUAUGGCAUCAGGCUUGAACUUUAAUUUAUGAAUUAAACCAACAAUAUUAUUGAUUAUUGCAAUUAUCUAUCUUAAUUUCAUUUGUUCUCCUUUUAAAAAUUAAUUAUGUUUAUUUUACCUAUUGUGAAUAAAGUCACUCCUCCCAUGUGCUUAUUUCUUGACUCUGGCACUAAUUAUUCUUCAGUGCCUAGAUUUCCUGGGACUGCUCAGUUUAAGUAACUUCUGAACAUUGGUCUCUGAGAGAAAAGACAGUGAAGUGGGAUCUGUGGAAAAACACAUCUGCAAAUGUCUCAUUUUUUUCUUCAGGGGUAAGUUUUCUUCCUUGGAGACUCUUGUCUUGAAAAAGUGAUACUAGAUCACCAUUUGGCAAGAUAAUUACAAAAGGCAGAUAGAGUAAUUAUUUUACAUAGCUGUUAUAGGGUGACUAAGAUCUCAGGGAAUGACUGUGUUCUGUAAUCCACUUGCCCCACUCAAUACCCCAAGUUUUAUACAAGCCAAAGAUGCUUGGAGCAGAAUCUGCUACCUGAGGCUCCAGGGCCUUGGCCUAGGGAAACUAAUACUUAACUUUUUAAGUGGUCAUUGAUGACAUCCCACUCCUUUCUGAGAUGGGUAUGAUUUGAAAGGCAGGUGUAUUCAUGGAGAGCAGGGCUUGGGACCUUUGCUGCAAGAGGAGGAACUAUUAGCCUAGACUUUUCUAAUAAGGACUUUCUCAUACCUGUUUCCUAGAUCUGGUCCACAUAGAAGAAAUCAGGGAACACACAGGGUAGGACUCUUAAAGGAGUAUGUUUCUUGGCUUUUUCCUAAAAACUAAAACAAAAACAUUCAUAGCAAAGCAGUUUAGCCCAGUGACUAAGAGUAUAGACAUUGGAAUCUGAAAGAUCUGGGUUGGAAUUCUGCUUCAGCCAUUUACUAAUUAUGUAACUUCACAUCUCUGAGAAUGGGGGAAAUUUUCUUUGCAGGGUUGUUACAAAGCUUAAAAGAGUUAAGUCAAGUGCCUGGAACAGAACAGCCAUUCAAUAAAUCAUAGAAAUUUUUGUUUUUACACAAAUUUUUAAAAAGUAAUAUUUUUUGCAUUUGUUAGAAAGACUAUAUUUUCUGUUUAGUGGAUGACAUCAUCAUCAUAAAAAUCACUGUUACAAGUUUUGUUUUGAGAAUUAAAAUCAUAUAUUAAUCCCAA
RNAcentral lists this long non-coding RNA (2857 nucleotides) under Homo sapiens (human). RNAcentral's name for it is "cervical cancer associated DHX9 suppressive transcript". The record is from RNAcentral. Lineage: Eukaryota; Metazoa; Chordata; Mammalia; Primates; Hominidae.